AUGGCAGCUCCCAGCCACCUGCUUGACAAUAAGGCCCAGGGUGUUGGGUUCGUUGCCAUGUGUUGGAAAUAUGCCCUAGAGGGCAAGUGGUAUGCCGUGUUCAUCGGUAAGGUCCCAGGGGUUUAUAGUUCAUGGGAAGAAGCCAGUGCACAAGUGGCAUCGUAUAGCAACAACACCCAUAGAGGGUUCAAGACUAGGCAUGCAGCAGAACAAGCUUACUCCAAGUGGGUGCGAAAGCAUGGCAGCACUGUUGACAAUCGCAAGGUUGGAGGUGUGAAGGUGCAUCGUCAGUUUGGGCUGAAGCUGAAGAACUUCAUCAUCUUCGCCCAGUUCAUCGCCAUUGUUGUGUUGUGGCGUUGGUGUGCUAGGUGUGGGUAA
This 378-nucleotide ribosomal RNA is filed under the name Triticum aestivum (bread wheat). RNAcentral's name for it is "partial small subunit ribosomal RNA". Lineage: Eukaryota; Viridiplantae; Streptophyta; Magnoliopsida; Poales; Poaceae. The record is from RNAcentral.